This is a transfer RNA of Polymorphum gilvum SL003B-26A1, 72 nucleotides long. It matches the Rfam family "tRNA". Rfam says of the family: Transfer RNA (tRNA) molecules are approximately 80 nucleotides in length. Their secondary structure includes four short double-helical elements and three loops (D, anti-codon, and T loops). The record is from Rfam. NCBI's taxonomy places the organism in Bacteria, Pseudomonadati, Pseudomonadota, Alphaproteobacteria, Rhodobacterales, Paracoccaceae.
GGGCGAUUAGCUCAGCGGGAGAGCGUUCCGUUCACACCGGAAAGGUCACUGGUUCAAUCCCAGUAUCGCCCA